UGAGGAAUAUUGGGCAAUGCCCGCAAGGGUGACCCAGCAACGCCGCGUGGAGGAUGAAUGUCGUAAGAUUGUAAACUCCUGUUAGAGGGGAAGAAUAGUACCGGUUGGACCGGUAUAUGACUGUACCCUCAGAGAAAGCCCCGGCUAACUACGUGCCAGCAGCCGCGGUAAUACGUAGGGGGCACGCGUUGUCCGGAUUUACUGGGUGUAAAGGGCGCGCAGGCGGAAUGGAAAGUCAGUGGUGAAAUCCUACAGCUUAACUGUAGAACUGCCUUUGAUACUUUCAUUCUUGAGUUCGGGAGAGAGAGACUGAAGUCCAGGUGUAGUGGUGAAAUACGUAGAUAUCUGGAAGAACACCAGUUGCGAAGGCGGUCUCUUGGUCCGAUACUGACGCGGAGGCGCGGAAGCGUGGGGAGCAAACA
This 422-nucleotide ribosomal RNA is filed under the name uncultured bacterium. Its description in RNAcentral is "bacterial SSU rRNA". It matches the Rfam family "Bacterial small subunit ribosomal RNA", at positions 355 to 774 of the family's 1533-position model. The record is from RNAcentral.